GUUUCGAUUAGAGUGCUUUUUUGUUCAGAUAGCAAAAGACAUUUCAGAUUAAUGCUUUCUGUAACAUUGAACAGAAAAGAGCUGUCUUUUUGUUUGUUUUCAUAUGAUACCUGCAAAGGUUGAGUUGUUAGUGCUUGCUAGUGGGUGCUUUAUGUGUAUUUGUUAGAAAAUGAUGGCAUACUAAUUAGACAGGAAAAUAAAUGAUGAUACGAAUAAUUCUCACAAAAAAGGGAUAAAUCUGCAUUUUGUUGAUAUGUUUGUCA
RNAcentral lists this unclassified non-coding RNA (263 nucleotides) under Hevea brasiliensis (rubber tree). The record is from RNAcentral. Lineage: Eukaryota; Viridiplantae; Streptophyta; Magnoliopsida; Malpighiales; Euphorbiaceae.